UGCCAGCAGCCGCGGUAAUACGAAGGGUGCUAGCGUUGUUCGGAAUUACUGGGCGUAAAGAGCAUGUAGGCGGUUUUGUAAGUCGGAUGUGAAAUCCCUGGGCUUAACCUGGGAACUGCAUUCGAUACUGCAUAACUAGAGUAUGGUAGAGGGAAGUGGAAUUUCCGGUGUAGCGGUGAAAUGCGUAGAUAUCGGAAGGAACACCAGUGGCGAAGGCGACUUCCUGGGCCAAUACUGACGCUGAGAUGCGAAAGCGUGGGGAGCGAACAGGAUUAGAUA
This 279-nucleotide ribosomal RNA is filed under the name uncultured bacterium. Its description in RNAcentral is "partial 16S ribosomal RNA". It matches the Rfam family "Bacterial small subunit ribosomal RNA", at positions 506 to 784 of the family's 1533-position model. The record is from RNAcentral.